CGCGUAGGCGGCUUAGCAAGCUAGAUGUGAAAGCCCCGGGCUUAACUCGGGAAUUGCAUCUGAAACUGCUUUGCUUGAGUCCUGGAGGGGGUAGUGGAAUUCCCAGUGUAGCGGUGAAAUGCGUAGAUAUUGGGAGGAACACCUGCGGCGAAGGCGGCUACCUGGACAGUGACUGACGCUGAUGCGCGAAAGCUAGGGGAGCGAACGGGAUUAGAUACCCCGGUAGUCCUAGCCGUAAACGAUGGGCACUUGGUGUUGGGGGUAUUGAGUCCCCCGGUGCCGGAGUUAACACGUUAAGUGCCCCGCCUGGGGAGUACGGUCGCAAGACUGAA
This 332-nucleotide ribosomal RNA is filed under the name uncultured bacterium. RNAcentral's name for it is "bacterial SSU rRNA". It matches the Rfam family "Bacterial small subunit ribosomal RNA", at positions 568 to 898 of the family's 1533-position model. The record is from RNAcentral.